UACGGAGGGUGCGAGCGUUGUCCGGAAUCAUUGGGCGUAAAGAGCGUGUAGGCGGCCAUACAGGUCAGCUGUGAAAACUCGAGGCUCAACCUCGAGACGUCGGUUGAAACCGUAUGGCUAGAGUCCGGAAGAGGAGAGUGGAAUUCCCGGUGUAGCGGUGAAAUGCGUAGAUAUCGGGAAGAACACCCGUGGCGAAGGCGGCUCUCUGGGACGGUACUGACACUGAGACGCGAAAGCGUGGGGAGCGAACAGG
This 253-nucleotide ribosomal RNA is filed under the name uncultured bacterium. Its description in RNAcentral is "partial 16S ribosomal RNA". It matches the Rfam family "Bacterial small subunit ribosomal RNA", at positions 524 to 776 of the family's 1533-position model. The record is from RNAcentral.